CCUACGGGUGGCAGCAGUCGAGAAUUUUUCUCAAUGGGGGAAACCCUGAAGGAGCGACGCCGCGUGGAGGAUGAAGGUCUUCGGAUUGUAAACUCCUGUCAUGAGGGAGUAAGAUGCAUCGUUAACUGCGAGUGCAUUUGAUAGUACCUCAAGAGGAAGGGACGGCUAACUCUGUGCCAGCAGCCGCGGUAAUACAGAGGUCCCAAGCGUUGUUCGGAUUCAUUGGGCGUAAAGGGUGCGUAGGCGGGAAGGUAAGUCAGAUGUGAAAUUUCAGGGCUCAACCUUGAAACUGCAUUUGAUACUGCCUUUCUUGAGUGCUGGAGGGGAGACUGGAAUUCACGGUGUAGCAGUGAAAUGCGUAGAUAUCGUGAGGAAGGCCAGUGGCGAAGGCGAGUCUCUGGACAGCAACUGACGCUGAGGCACGAAGGCUAGGGGAGCAAACGGGAUUAGAUACCCUAGUAGUC
Molecule: ribosomal RNA, 464 nt
Filed under: uncultured bacterium
Lineage: Bacteria
Description: bacterial SSU rRNA
Rfam family: Bacterial small subunit ribosomal RNA
Source: RNAcentral